GAAAUGGUGGCCACCCAGUAACUCCACAGUAUGUCCCCAGAUGGUUCUUAAAAGGGCCAGCAGCAGCACAACACAAAUCCAUUAUGCCCAAAUCAUGUCUUUAAAGGGCAAUACAUCCCAGGGGCCAUAGUCACAGGGCAAGAGGCGGGCAAGCAGUCCUCUCCAGGCACAAGUGGCGAAGGGCACUUCGUCACAGUAAUGUUUAAAUAUAUUUUCUGUUUUAGUAUGUAUAGAUAGAACAUUAUUUAAUGAAACAAAAAAAAUUGGGUAGAAUAAAUUUUUACAGAUAAGGAAACCGUGUUGUAAAUAUAUAUACAUAUCGCAUAAUUAUUAUAUACCGUAUUUUUCAGAAUACAAGAGGCACUGGAAUAUAAGACUCACCAAUAUAUUUUAACGUUAAAAAAAAUUAAACAACUUGUGC
This is a non-coding RNA of Pelobates cultripes (western spadefoot toad), 421 nucleotides long. NCBI's taxonomy places the organism in Eukaryota, Metazoa, Chordata, Amphibia, Anura, Pelobatidae. The record is from the annotation of a GenBank genome assembly.